Molecule: ribosomal RNA, 120 nt
Filed under: Scophthalmus maximus (turbot)
Lineage: Eukaryota; Metazoa; Chordata; Actinopteri; Pleuronectiformes; Scophthalmidae
Source: RNAcentral
GCUUACGGCCACACCGCCUAGUUCACGCCCGAUCUUGCUUUGAUCUCGGAAGCUAAGAUAGAUUGGGCCUGGUUAGUACUUGGAUGGGAGACCGCCUCGGAAUACCAGGUGCUGUAAGCU